RNAcentral lists this ribosomal RNA (315 nucleotides) under uncultured Umbelopsis. RNAcentral describes it as "partial large subunit ribosomal RNA". It matches the Rfam family "Eukaryotic large subunit ribosomal RNA", at positions 40 to 350 of the family's 3401-position model. Lineage: Eukaryota; Fungi; Mucoromycota; Umbelopsidomycetes; Umbelopsidales; Umbelopsidaceae. The record is from RNAcentral.
AUAUCAAUAAGCGGAGGAAAAGAAACUAACAAGGAUUCCCCUAGUAACGGCGAGUGAAGCGGGAAGAGCUCAAAUUUAAAAUCUGGUUUGCUUGCAAAUCCGAGUUGUAGUCUGAAGAAACGUUUUCCAUGAAAGCUGAGGCACAAGUCCUUUGGAACAGGGCAUCAUAGAGGGUGAGAAUCCCGUCCAUGGUCUCAGGCCUUUCAUUUUGUGAUACGUUUUCUAAGAGUCAGGUUGUUUGGGAAUGCAGCCUAAAAUGGGUGGUAAAUUUCAUCUAAAGCUAAAUAUUGGCGAGAGACCGAUAGCGCACAAGUA